CGUUAGGCUUGACCGGGGAGCUUGGCGUGCCCUGUACCCGCAACCGUCAAUAGCGGGGGUGACAGCAGAGGGCGGCGAAGCUGAAGGUUCAAGCCCACAAAGCAACUAUGAAAUCUUGUCCUGCAGAGUCGGCGCGUGCGCAACGGACAGCCGGAGGGCGGCACUGGGCGUGCUAAUCGGGGAAACCGGGUCAGGUCCUGACGGGAGCAGCCUCACCUUGAGCUACUGACGUUUGCGGGGGAGCAGGGUUGAGGAGCGAUGUGGUAAACUUGAGUCCUGAUGCGACGUCCACCUCUGUGGCCUAACA
RNAcentral lists this signal recognition particle RNA (307 nucleotides) under Candidatus Methanoplasma porotermitis. Its description in RNAcentral is "signal recognition particle sRNA". It matches the Rfam family "Archaeal signal recognition particle RNA". Lineage: Archaea; Methanobacteriati; Thermoplasmatota; Thermoplasmata; Methanomassiliicoccales; Methanomassiliicoccaceae. The record is from RNAcentral.